CAGCUUUGACAGCUUCCAAGAUGCACCUCCUCCUCCCUAACCCUAAUCCUCCCUAACCCUAUCCCUCCCUCCCCUUCCCUCUAAACCUGCACUGCCAUGCCCUCCUCCCCCUCCGCUCGUUUCCGUUUCCUGCUUCUUCUUUAUUCCUCUCGUGACUCUCGCCACCCCUUCUCUUCCCCAUGCCUGCAAUCUAACGAACGCAUCACUACCAUCUCCACCCCCGCGUCACUUGCACUGGAACCUGCCCCCUCCCUCGCCUCCCGUUUCUCUGCCUGCCUGCCUCCCAGUUCCAGGAAUACGUAAGUGGAGCUGAUGUGACUACGAUUUUUUUUAUUUGGGAGCUUGUUUAUGAGCAGAUUUCCUCCUCCGCUAGUGCAUGUGCGGUAUCCUUUACACUUACCGUUCACACCAGCGUCGACUGCUCCGUCUGUAGACACACUUUCUUUUUAGGUGAAUAUUGUGGGCAGUCGCAUGUUUCAAAUGCUUGUGCAGAUGUAUGAGAUCAUAGUAAAAUGUGCCGAAGCUACUUGUAUAGAACGCAGAAUUUGCAUCUUAUUUGCAAUGGGUACGCCAAUGCAUUAGGUGACGUAGUGACAUGAUGGGCGUUAUCGUAGUGAAUUAUAGGUUCUCUCGUUUGAGCACCUUGUGUACACUUACGAAUGGAUCAGAUAAAAGCAUUGCCCUACAUUUUCUAAGGCUAAAGAUGUAUUGUGAGAGUGAUACAUGUAUUGUGUAGGAUACCAUUCUUAUGAAGUAGCAACUUAUGUACUUUUGAAAGACUUUGGUAAAAUGUUUGAAGAGAAAGUUUUUGAUACUA
This is a non-coding RNA of Physcomitrium patens, 817 nucleotides long. Lineage: Eukaryota; Viridiplantae; Streptophyta; Bryopsida; Funariales; Funariaceae. The record is from RefSeq and is a predicted model, not a curated record.